Ribosomal RNA from Ursus americanus (American black bear), 122 nucleotides. NCBI's taxonomy places the organism in Eukaryota, Metazoa, Chordata, Mammalia, Carnivora, Ursidae. The record is from Ensembl.
GUCUACAGCCAUACCACCCAAAACGCACCCAAUCUUGUCUGAUCUCGGAAGCUAAGCAGGGUUGGGUCUGGUUAGUACUUGGAUGGGAGAAAUCCCCCUUAAUACAACAGUUGAGGGGGACU